GGCUUGGUAGCGCUGGUGCGCAUCUGCAUAUUAAUGUAGGGAUCAUCGCGAAUACAGCAGACCCCGCCUGUUCGACUCGGGCCUAAGCCA
This is a non-coding RNA of Mycena rebaudengoi, 90 nucleotides long. NCBI's taxonomy places the organism in Eukaryota, Fungi, Basidiomycota, Agaricomycetes, Agaricales, Mycenaceae. The record is from the annotation of a GenBank genome assembly.